Molecule: microRNA precursor, 171 nt
Filed under: Medicago truncatula (barrel medic)
Lineage: Eukaryota; Viridiplantae; Streptophyta; Magnoliopsida; Fabales; Fabaceae
Description: MIR2619 microRNA precursor family
Rfam family: MIR2619 microRNA precursor family
Source: Rfam by way of RNAcentral
AAAUCGUUCCCUAAGUUUUGCAACUGUAGUGGUUUUGGCCCCAAGGCCAAAAAAAAAACAUAAAAACAAUAACACGUGGCACCUCGCUUAGGGUGCCACGUCAGCAUAGACCGAGUCAAAAUUGGCCUUGGGGGCCAAAACUACCACAGGUGAAAAACUUAGGGGCGGUUU